CCCAGCCUCACUUUGCGGUGCGCGAGGGAGCUGAGCAGUCAGCUCAUGGGAAGUGCUCCCUCGCCGGCCGUCCGCCCGGGAUGUCAGUUAGCCGCAAGGCUAACAAGGCAUCUGCCCUGGGCAUUUGGGGGGCGGCGUUUUUUGCCGCCCCCUGAAAAAUGCCGCCCAAGGCAAAUGCCUUGUUUGCCUCGCGGCUAAUACGUCCCUGGCGCUACCAACAAACUAGAUAACAUUUCUUCUUGACCCAGUAUGGCAGUCGGAUAUCUCCUUGGAUCAAGAAGCUAUUGCCCCACUAAUUAACUAAUGCACUAGUGCAUUGCCCCACUAAUUACUUCCCUGUAUAUUAUGUUUUUCCAAGUAUUUAUCCAAUUGCUGUUUAAACAUCUGUACAGACUCCUAAAAAAAACACCUCUUUAGGCAGAGAUUUUCCCAUCCGUAUUGUUCUUACUGUAAAUAAAAACUUUCCUUUGCCUUGGACUAAAUUUCCUUUCUUCUAGUCUAAAUGUGUGAACUUGUGUCCUGUUUAUGAAUAGAUUUCCAGACCAUGGUUUGUAUUGACCCCGAAGAUAUUUGCAUAAUGUUAUUACUACUCUCUGCUGCGUUCGUGGGAUCUGAGCACUUUCGGGAUAUGUUGGGCGCUUAGACCCAGAAUAUCUGGGGAUAUAGAACUUGAAGGGAUAUCUCACUGUUAAAUAUAUAUUUUGAGGUAUUUUUAUUAUGCUUGUCCUGGACCUUAUGUUGCUGUCCCCUUUCAGGUCCAGUGGGGAAUACCCUGGAAUGUGUCACCAAAAAUCUCUUGCAUGGGAACUUGCAUAAAAGGCCAGCUGUGGCUCCCAUUAAAGCAGUUCCAGUUUUACCCUCAACACAGAGCCUCGUCUCGUGUCUGUAGGGAACAGCUAUAACAGCUAUUUCACUAUGUUUUAGGAUUAUCGCAUCCAGGAUUAUUGCAGCUCUACUCACACUGGUGGGAAUAGAACAUCUCUGGCUGUGAAACCCCUCUUCCCAUCGGGGUGUCCGCCACAGGGGGGUCGGCCACUACCCCAGCACCAGGUGCAUCUGAUGCAGCAAGCCGCAGACAUGGACGUGUAUUACAAGCACUAAAGCACCCCAAAUACUGAUCAGUUAGGCGUGGUAUACUUCAGAAUUAUCAGCAGGUAAGGCAGAAGUAUUGAAUUUAGGUAAGUCCAAUGAAAGAGCUUAUUUAUUGUCCUCGCCACCAGGAUCUACACAAAAGCAUGUCCGGUCAUC
Pelobates cultripes (western spadefoot toad) is the source of this 1248-nucleotide non-coding RNA. Lineage: Eukaryota; Metazoa; Chordata; Amphibia; Anura; Pelobatidae. The record is from the annotation of a GenBank genome assembly.